Molecule: long non-coding RNA, 331 nt
Organism: Glossina fuscipes
Lineage: Eukaryota; Metazoa; Arthropoda; Insecta; Diptera; Glossinidae
Exons: 2
Source: RefSeq, a predicted model, not a curated record
UUACCGGAAUAGGCAAUCAAAGAUUCGUAAAAGACGAACUCGUAAUUAAUAACCUUGAAGUCAUUGAGGAAUCUUGCGCUAGCAAUGAACUAUUAAUUAAGUAAGUGCUACAAAUCGACUAAAUUCCAAUUCGGUUGGCUAGCGAUUUAAUUAAGUAAUCAACCUAGCAUUGAAGCCGCUGAUGUCGCUAAUACUGAAUUCUGAUAAACUGAAUUGUUAAUGGGGCAACUGCUAAAGAGAUUAACUCCACGCCAAAUUAAUUUAUUGAAUAAUGAAUGGAAGUUGGUGCUGUAACGUUGAAACCGCUAAGGCGACUUGCACGGAUGAAAAA